AUGACCAAUUUUGCCAAAGGAGAGCGAAGCCGGAGCUCAGCUCUCACCCAGGAGGACCAGAAGGUGAGCGCCAGGCGCUCACUGCCCGCCCCGCGUGCCCUGGGCUCCAGCCUCCUUCCCUGGGUGACGCUUUAUCUCCUGGAAGCAGGCCCGUUGGAGUCUGGAGUCACCCAAACUCCGAGACACGUGAUCAAAACAACAGGACAGACAGUGACACUGAGGUGUUCCCCUAUGUCUGGGCACCGCAGUGUGUCUUGGUACCAACAGGCCCUGGGUCAGGGCCCCCAGUUCCUCUUUGAGUUUUAUGAAAAUAUGCAGAGAGCAAAAGGAAACUUCCCGGGUCGAUUCUCUCAGCACAGCAGUUCCGUGAUGCUCGCUCAGAGCUGAACGUGAGCUCCUUGGAGCUGAGCGUCUUGGCCCUGCACCUGUGUCCCCGCAGCUUCGCACAGCCCUGCUGA
This is a non-coding RNA of Balaenoptera musculus (blue whale), 458 nucleotides long. The record is from the annotation of a RefSeq genome assembly. Lineage: Eukaryota; Metazoa; Chordata; Mammalia; Artiodactyla; Balaenopteridae.